GACGAACGCUGGCGGCGUGCUUAACACAUGCAAGUCGAACGGAAAGGCCCUGCUUUUGUGGGGUGCUCGAGUGGCGAACGGGUGAGUAACACGUGAGUAACCUGCCCUUGACUUUGGGAUAACUUCAGGAAACUGGGGCUAAUACCGGAUAGGAGCCCCUGCUGCAUGGUGGGGGUUGGAAAGUUUCGGCGGUUGGGGAUGGACUCGCGGCUUAUCAGCUUGUUGGUGGGGUAGUGGCUUACCCAGGCUUUGACGGGUAGCCGGCCUGAGAGGGUGACCGGCCACAUUGGGACUGAGAUACGGCCCAGACUCCUACGGGAGGCAGCAGUGGGGAAUAUUGCACAAUGGGCGGAAGCCUGAUGCAGCAACGCCGCGUGCGGGAUGACGGCCUUCGGGUUGUAAACCGCUUUCGCCUGUGACGAAGCGUGAGUGACGGUAAUGGGUAAAGAAGCACCGGCUAACUACGUG
This 468-nucleotide ribosomal RNA is filed under the name uncultured bacterium. RNAcentral's name for it is "partial 16S ribosomal RNA". It matches the Rfam family "Bacterial small subunit ribosomal RNA", at positions 28 to 507 of the family's 1533-position model. The record is from RNAcentral.